Non-coding RNA from Vicia faba (fava bean), 395 nucleotides. The record is from the annotation of a GenBank genome assembly. Lineage: Eukaryota; Viridiplantae; Streptophyta; Magnoliopsida; Fabales; Fabaceae.
GGGGUAGGCAUAGCAUAUCAUACGAAAAACUCAGAACAAAUUCUAUCAACUCUCUCUCUCUCUCUCUCACCGUAAAUCCCUUCUUCUCUUCUGCUCCACACCCCAAAUUUCAUCUCCAUCUUCUGUCACACGAACAGCGCUCCACCUCCAUUCAACCAGCUUCACGCUACCCUCAUUUUUACCAACUUCUUCAACCAUCGACACAUACUACUUCGCAUACUCCCUCCCUGUGCAUCUUCUGCUUUCAACACGCAGACCCACUUGCAAUCUCCGGCCAACAACCCAUCACCCACCAUCAAACCUCCGCAACCACCUUCACUCUCCGCGUGAAAUUCUCACUAUCACUGCCACUGUUCACUUGGUUAAAAUGUGGUUAUAAUGUGGUUAAAAUUUAG